This is a long non-coding RNA of Haliotis rubra (blacklip abalone), 557 nucleotides long. RefSeq lists it as uncharacterized. The record is from RefSeq and is a predicted model, not a curated record. The transcript has 3 exons. NCBI's taxonomy places the organism in Eukaryota, Metazoa, Mollusca, Gastropoda, Lepetellida, Haliotidae.
GGGAGUCUCAGGCAUUCCAAAGUGAGGAAGUGGAUUCAGAUGUAGUAUCUGUGAGAAAGUACUGACAUGUAAAGGUGGAUAUACUGUUCAUCAGCAGAUGACUUGAAGUCAAAAGAAACGGAGACCAUUCAGUCAUUUCUACAGAUUUCCAAGCACGAAUGCUCUUAUGUUCAGCUGAGAAAAAUGAUGAACAAGCAGAAAAUACAGCAGCAAAGGACAAGGAAGAGAUGGCACACAUUUUAAGAAUGAAAUUUACUUAAUAAAUAUUCAGAUCAUUUCUAAGGGAUGUUACAUUUGGGAAUUCACUUUUCCAGUAUAGUACAGAUACUAGUACUUUGCUGGUAGAGGGUGGAGUGAAUCCCUUGUGUGAUUUGAACCAACCCUCUAAAGGUGAAACACCUUAUCACAGAACAACAUUGUUAGCAAUUUAACCUGACAAAUGUUAGUCAAGGUCUCGAUCAGAGAAGUGUAAAUGCCACAAUUACAAUUUUUUGCAAAGUUAUGCAAAUAAGAAUGUCAAAACUAUUUGGUUUAAUAAAUAGUAAUUAUUAAACUUA